Molecule: non-coding RNA, 650 nt
Organism: Urocitellus parryii (Arctic ground squirrel)
Lineage: Eukaryota; Metazoa; Chordata; Mammalia; Rodentia; Sciuridae
Source: RefSeq, a predicted model, not a curated record
AUGCCAGAAUAAAUGUUCAUCAAAGAAGAAAUCCUAUAAAGGGAAAUCUCCUGGACCAGAAGCCAAAGAAAUGAUAUGACUGUUCAGUUUUUAUACCAGAGAGGUUUUCACUGUUUUGACAAAAAUCCUGGCUAAUUUAAGCCCUUGGCAGGAAGCAGGUUAAGUUGAGCCUUUACAUCACCUCUUGGCCCAUUCAAGACUUUAUGAAUUGACUACUGAAUUUCUUCCAUGGAAUCCUGUUUUUCUAGCAUUUAUAAAUCAAUCAAAUACAUACACAUUAGACUCAUUUGCAAAAAUACAACAUCUAACAUGUCUCUCACUUUUUACAAUUCUUUGCUUAGUGACCCCUGGUUAGGAGCCAAGGCCUAAGCUCCUCUGUUAGACAUUGGAGGUUCUCUCAAAUUCCCUACUGAAUGAACCUUUAUGUUCUUGUUUCUCGUAAUCUUAUUAUUUCAAGAGAGAGUUAACUUGCCUGUUUUCUAGGUCACAUUCUUAUAUCUGCAUAUUUGUUUAUGUUAUCUCCUAAAAUUCAUUUUUUUUACUCCUCCCUAUUAGUAAGCCUUACUUGUCUUUUCAAGGAUCAUUAAAUAUCAAAUUUUCAAAGCGAAUUUCUAUUUUACCACUUCAUGGAGUGCUUGGUCAUGUGAAAG